Molecule: ribosomal RNA, 824 nt
Filed under: uncultured bacterium
Lineage: Bacteria
Description: bacterial SSU rRNA
Rfam family: Bacterial small subunit ribosomal RNA
Source: RNAcentral
GACAUCUGAUUCGGAGGAAAGUGGCGGACGGGUGAGUAACGCGUGAGGAACCUGCCUUGAAGAGGGGGACAACAGUUGGAAACGACUGCUAAUACCGCAUGACGCAUAGGGGUCGCAUGAUCUUUAUGCCAAAGAUUUAUCGCUUCAAGAUGGCCUCGCGUCUGAUUAGCUGGUUGGCGGGGUAACGGCCCACCAAGGCGACGAUCAGUAGCCGGACUGAGAGGUUGAACGGCCACAUUGGGACUGAGAUACGGCCCGGACUCCUACGGGAGGCAGCAGUGGGGAAUAUUGGGCAAUGGGCGCAAGCCUGACCCAGCAACGCCGCGUGAAGGAAGAAGGCUUUCGGGUUGUAAACUUCUUUUAAGAGGGAAGAGCAGAAGACGGUACCUCUAGAAUAAGCCACGGCUAACUACGUGCCAGCAGCCGCGGUAAUACGUAGGUGGCAAGCGUUGUCCGGAUUUACUGGGUGUAAAGGGCGUGCAGCCGGGUCUGCAAGUCAGAUGUGAAAUCCAUGGGCUCAACCCAUGAACUGCAUUUGAAACUGUAGAUCUUGAGUGUCGGAGGGGCAAUCGGAAUUCCUAGUGUAGCGGUGAAAUGCGUAGAUAUUAGGAGGAACACCAGUGGCGAAGGCGGAUUGCUGGACGAUAACUGACGGUGAGGCGCGAAAGUGUGGGGAGCAAACAGGAUUAGAUACCCUGGUAGUCCUCACUGUAAACGAUGAAUACUAGGUGUGCGGGGACUGACCCCCUGCGAACCGCAUUAAACCCCAUAAGUUUUACACCCGGGAAGCAGGAACGCCUGGCCGUCGUUCUACAGUCAGGAAA